ACUCCUACGGGAGGCAGCAGUGGGGAAUAUUGCACAAUGGGGAAACCCUGAUGCAGCCAUGCCGCGUGUGUGAAGAAGGCCUUCGGUUGUAAAGCACUUCAGUAGGGAGGAAGGUAGUGCAGUUAACACCUGCAUUAUUUGACGUUACCUACAGAAGAAGCCCGGCUAACUACGUGCCAGCAGCGCGGUAAUACGUAGGGGGCAAGCGUUAUCCGGAAUCACUGGGCGUAAAGGGUGCGUAGGCGGCUUAGCAAGCCAGGGGUGAAAGGCAUUGGCUCAACCAAUGUAAGCCUUUGGAACUGUUAAGCUUGAGUGCAGGAGAGGUAAGUGGAAUUCCUAGUGUAGAGGUGAAAUUCGUAGAUAUUAGGAGGAACACCAGUGGCGAAGGCGACUUACUGGACUGUAACUGACGCUGAUGCACGAAAGCGU
This 429-nucleotide ribosomal RNA is filed under the name uncultured bacterium. Its description in RNAcentral is "bacterial SSU rRNA". It matches the Rfam family "Bacterial small subunit ribosomal RNA", at positions 335 to 762 of the family's 1533-position model. The record is from RNAcentral.